This is a long non-coding RNA of Quercus lobata, 244 nucleotides long. RefSeq lists it as uncharacterized. The transcript is spliced from 3 exons. The record is from RefSeq and is a predicted model, not a curated record. Lineage: Eukaryota; Viridiplantae; Streptophyta; Magnoliopsida; Fagales; Fagaceae.
GAGGCAUCUGACGAAGGACAUGCAAGACCUCCUCCUUAUUAUACGAGAAAGCGUAAGGUUCAAAAAAGGUGAAAGGUACAGUUGGGACAUUAGCUGGAGGUAGAUAUUCAUGUGUUUGUGAAUGAUACAAUUCUUGUUGCUGUUAUCUUCGAGUAGCUACAAACUUGUUGCAUCAAUGAUUCUUUGUUGACAAUAUUCUUCUUGUUUCCUCAGCUCUUAUAUUUAUUUAUAGUUUCUCCAUUUC